RNAcentral lists this ribosomal RNA (386 nucleotides) under uncultured bacterium. RNAcentral's name for it is "bacterial SSU rRNA". It matches the Rfam family "Bacterial small subunit ribosomal RNA", at positions 30 to 416 of the family's 1533-position model. The record is from RNAcentral.
AUUGAACGCUGGCGGCAGGCCUAACACAUGCAAGUCGAGCGGAUGAAAGGGGCUUGCUCCUGGAUUCAGCGGCGGACGGGUGAGUAAUGCGCAGGAAUCUACCUAGUAGUGGGGGAUAACGUUUCGAAAGGAACGCUAAUACCGCAUACGUUCUGAGGAAGAAAGCAGGGGAUCGUAAGACCUUGCGCUAUUAGAUGAGCUUGCGUCCGAUUAGCUAGUUGGUGGGGUAAAGGCCUACCAAGGCGACGAUCGGUAACUGGUCUGAGAGGAUGAUCAGUCACACUGGAACUGAGACACGGUCCAGACUCCUACGGGAGGCAGCAGUGGGGAAUAUUGGACAAUGGGGGCAACCCUGAUCCAGCCAUGCCGCGUGUGUGAAGAAGGCC